GAUGAACGCUGGCGGCGUGCCUAAUACAUGCAAGUAGAACGCUGAAGCUUGGUGCUUGCACCGAGCGGAUGAGUUGCGAACGGGUGAGUAACGCGUAGGUAACCUGCCUCUUAGCGGGGGAUAACUAUUGGAAACGAUAGCUAAUACCGCAUAAAAGUCGAUAUCGCAUGAUAUUGAUUUGAAAGAUGCAAUUGCAUCACUAAGAGAUGGACCUGCGUUGUAUUAGCUAGUUGGUGAGGUAACGGCUCACCAAGGCGACGAUACAUAGCCGACCUGAGAGGGUGAUCGGCCACACUGGGACUGAGACACGGCCCAGACUCCUACGGGAGGCAGCAGUAGGGAAUCUUCGGCAAUGGGGGCAACCCUGACCGAGCAACGCCGCGUGAGUGAAGAAGGUUUUCGGAUCGUAAAGCUCUGUUGUAAGAGAAGAACGAGUGUGAGAGUGGAAAGUUCACACUGUGACGGUAACUUACCAGAAAGGGACGGCUAACUACGUGCCAGCAGCCGCGGUAAUACGUAGGUCCCGAGCGUUAUCCGGAUUUAUUGGGCGUAAAGCGAGCGCAGGCGGUUAGAUAAGUCUGAAGUUAAAGGCUGUGGCUUAACCAUAGUACGCUUUGGAAACUGUUUAACUUGAGUGCAGAAGGGGAGAGUGGAAUUCCAUGUGUAGCGGUGAAAUGCGUAGAUAUAUGGAGGAACACCGGUGGCGAAAGCGGCUCUCUGGUCUGUAACUGACGCUGAGGCUCGAAAGCGUGGGGAGCAAACAGG
This 765-nucleotide ribosomal RNA is filed under the name uncultured Streptococcus sp. RNAcentral's name for it is "bacterial SSU rRNA". It matches the Rfam family "Bacterial small subunit ribosomal RNA", at positions 28 to 776 of the family's 1533-position model. Lineage: Bacteria; Bacillati; Bacillota; Bacilli; Lactobacillales; Streptococcaceae. The record is from RNAcentral.